This 282-nucleotide ribosomal RNA is filed under the name uncultured bacterium. RNAcentral describes it as "partial 16S ribosomal RNA". It matches the Rfam family "Bacterial small subunit ribosomal RNA", at positions 333 to 632 of the family's 1533-position model. The record is from RNAcentral.
GUGUACCUACGGGGCGCAGCAGUGGGGAAUAUUGCACAAUGGGGGAAACCCUGAUGCAGCGACGCCGCGUGAGCGAAGAAGUAUUUCGGUAUGUAAAGCUCUAUCAGCAGGGAAGAAAAUGACGGUACCUGACUAAGAAGCCCCGGCUAAAUACGUGCCAGCAGCCGCGGUAAUACGUAUGGGGCAAGCGUUAUCCGGAUUUACUGGGUGUAAAGGGAGUGCAGGCGGCUUGGCAAGUCUGAUGUGAAAGGCUGGGGCGCAACCCCAGGACUGCAUUGGAAA